AGCAGCCGCGGUAAUUCCAGCUCCAAUAGCGUAUAUUAAAGUUGUUGCAGUUAAAAAGCUCGUAGUUGAAUUUCGGGAUUGGCGCAUCGGUCGUGCCUCACGGGGUAUGAACUGGUGCAGUCAAUUUCUCACCUUCUGGAGAACCGCGAUGUCCUUAAUUGGAUGCCGCGGGGAACCAGGACCUUUACUUUGAAAAAAUUAGAGUGUUUAAAGCAGGCAUUUUUGCUUGAAUACAUUAGCAUGGAAUAAUAAAAUAGGACGGCAUGGUUCUAUUUUGUCGGUUUCUAGGACCACCGUAAUGAUUAAUAGGGAUAGUUGGGGGCAUUAGUAUUCAAUUGUCAGAGGUGAAAUUCUUGGAUUUAUUGAAGACUAACUACUGCGAAAGCAUUUGCCAAGGAUGUUUUCAUUAAUCAAGAACGAAAGUUAGGGGAUCGAAGACGAUCAGAUACCGUCGUAGUCUUAACCAUAAACUAUGCCGACUAGGAAUCAGA
Molecule: ribosomal RNA, 491 nt
Filed under: uncultured Entrophospora
Lineage: Eukaryota; Fungi; Glomeromycota; Glomeromycetes; Entrophosporales; Entrophosporaceae
Description: SSU rRNA
Rfam family: Eukaryotic small subunit ribosomal RNA
Source: RNAcentral